GCAGGCGGCUGCUAGGGGUGUUUGCCGCUUCGCUGGCUUUCUUUGAGAUGGAAUUAUCAAUGGGCGCAGGGAUCUCCCCUAGAUCGAGGAAUCCGGUUGUUUAAAGCCCCAGGGUGCCCUCAGCAAGUGGCUUCAAUAGGGCUUCGCUGAACGAUCCCCAUCCUCGCGUGUCCUGGGCUGGUGGCUGAAGUAGGCGGGCGCGAAAAAGUGAUGGGUUACACGGACUGCGUGCUGGACCUGCGUGCCUCGGGACACUAGGAAGGGAAGGGGAAUUUGCCACUUUGCGGGGGAAGGAGGAGGAAGAGAGAGCAGAAAUGCAAAGCGGGGUGGGGGGGCUCCCCAAGAAGAAAACAGAAAGGAGGAGGAAGAAAGCGAGCGAGAGCAACCCCACCCUUCGAAAAGGUCGCUAUCCUUAAGAAAGCAGACACGGGGUCCCCUGACCCCUGCGGGAAACGCCCCAGCGUGGAACGCGCAACCCGGGCGCUGCCUGCCCUGCCACUCGUGGCCCCCGCCCUGAGGAGCCGGCUGCGCGGGUGCGCAAGCAGGUGACUUUAUUCACUGUUUCCCCAAUCGGCGAGGUCCCGGGACUCGUUUUCCGCCUGGAGAUUAAGAUCAUUGCUCGCGUAAUGAACUUAAUGCUUUAGGGUAGAGCUCUGCCUUGGGAGAGAAUGCGACGGACUCGUUGUCAGGAAGAUUGGACCAAAAGCAGAUAGUCUCCCCAACCCCUCCCCCCGCUCCUCCCCGCCAUCAGCGACUCCCUCAAGGGGCGAUUUCCCACACUCUACACCGCCCUGUCCUGGGCCUUGGGAUUCCCAACCUCGUGUAGACUCUGCACCUGGCUACCUAAGUGCCACGGGAUGCCCCACAGUCAAGUGGGUGAGGGGUGGUCAGGGAGAGGGGAGUGAAACGGGGCGACAUGCCGGGCCACACAAGGCACCCCACGACCCAGUUCCACGCCACUCCACCCGGCGUCCAAGCGCCUACCAGGGAGCUCCGCAUCGUCAGGUUUUUACUGUCUAUACAUCCGAGGGCCUGCUGGGAUCCGAAAGGCUGGGGAAAGUCUGCAAAGGCUUUAAAGUGAUCCCGAGGAGCUCCUACC
This 1099-nucleotide long non-coding RNA is filed under the name Bos indicus x Bos taurus (hybrid cattle). RNAcentral describes it as "lncRNA (ENSBIXG00000015179.1)". Lineage: Eukaryota; Metazoa; Chordata; Mammalia; Artiodactyla; Bovidae. The record is from RNAcentral.